UACGAAGGGGGCUAGCGUUGCUCGGAAUCACUGGGCGUAAAGCGCACGUAGGCGGACUCUUAAGUCGGUGGUGAAAUCCUGGAGCUCAACUCCGGAACUGCCUUCGAUACUGGGAGUCUUGAGUCCGGGAGAGGUGAGUGGAACUGCGAGUGUAGAGGUGAAAUUCGUAGAUAUUCGCAAGAACACCAGUGGCGAAGGCGGCUGACUGGUCCGGUUCUGACGCUGAGGCGCGAAAGCGUGGGGAGCAAACAGG
This 253-nucleotide ribosomal RNA is filed under the name uncultured bacterium. RNAcentral's name for it is "partial 16S ribosomal RNA". It matches the Rfam family "Bacterial small subunit ribosomal RNA", at positions 524 to 776 of the family's 1533-position model. The record is from RNAcentral.